GAUGAACGCUGGCGGCGUGCUUAACACAUGCAAGUCGAACGGAAAGGCCCAAGCUUGCUUGGGUACUCGAGUGGCGAACGGGUGAGUAACACGUGGGUGAUCUGCCCUGCACUUCGGGAUAAGCCUGGGAAACUGGGUCUAAUACCGGAUAGGACCACAUUUUGGAUGGUGUGGUGGAAUGUUUUUCGGUGUGGGUUUAGCUCGCGGCCUAUCAGCCUGUUGGUGGGGUAAUUGACUACCAAGGCGUCGACGGGUAGCCGGCCUGAGAGGGUGUACGGCCACAUUGGGACUGAGGUACGGCCCAGACUCCUACGGGAGGCAGCAGUGGGGAAUAUUGCAGAAGGGGCGCAAGGCUGAUGCAGCGACGCCGCGGGGGGGAUGACGGCCUUCGGGUUGUAAACUCCUUUCGCAAGGGACGAAGCGCAAGUGACGGUACCUGGAGAAGAAGCACCGGCUAACUACGUG
This 465-nucleotide ribosomal RNA is filed under the name uncultured bacterium. RNAcentral describes it as "partial 16S ribosomal RNA". It matches the Rfam family "Bacterial small subunit ribosomal RNA", at positions 28 to 507 of the family's 1533-position model. The record is from RNAcentral.